GUGUCAGCAGCCGCGGUAAAACGUAGGAGACAAACGUUAUCCGGAGUUACUGGGCGUAAAGGGCGUGCAGGCGGCAGUCUAAGUCUGGCGUGAAAUAUCCCGGCUCAACCGGGGAAGGUCGUCGGAUACUGGGCAGCUAGAGGGCGGUAGAGGCGUGUGGAAUUCCGGGUGUAGUGGUGAAAUGCGUAGAGAUCCGGAGGAACACCAGUGGCGAAGGCGACACGCUGGGCCGUACCUGACGCUAAGACGCGACAGCAUGGGGAGCAAACAGGAUUAGAAACCCCAGUAGUCC
Molecule: ribosomal RNA, 292 nt
Filed under: uncultured bacterium
Lineage: Bacteria
Description: partial 16S ribosomal RNA
Rfam family: Bacterial small subunit ribosomal RNA
Source: RNAcentral